UAGCUGUCUCCUAUAUUGUCCCAACUGGGGAUUGUACCACAACCUAGGUGUUCCCUGACUGGGAAUCAAACCUACAGCCUUUUUGAUGUAGAGAAUAACACUCCAACCACCUGAACCACCCAGCUGGGGCGGUAGGUUUUUUUCCUAGGGUCAGAUAGUAAAUAUUUUAGGCUUUAGGCCACAUAUGAUGUCUGUUGCAACUACCCAACUCUGCUGAAUGAAGGUUGCCAUAGAUAAUGCAAAUAAAUGGGUGAGGCUGUGUUCUGAUAAAUUCUUAGUUACAGAAACAGGCAGCUGGCCAUGGGCAGUAGUUUCCAGUCCUUGUUUUAAGACAUGAGAAAAGACAGAUUUUCUGUCCAUUAAGAUAAACUCCUUACCUCCCAAAAUUAUACUACUGGUGGAAACUAUCAGUUUAUAGUUUCUUCCCAUAAAAUGCAUACUGGAAACUCCUAUCAGUAUCUUGGUGUUUCUUUUCAGGUGAAGAUUUAUUAUUUUUUUCCCUUGAAAAGAUUUUAGAAGUAAUGGAUAUUUUUCAUUUCAGCAGCAACCAUCUCAGGCAAGGGAAAGGCCUGCCUGAACUUCUGCCAGUGUUUGCUCACAGCAGAGUGCACACCAGCUCUACCUGUGUGUGGCCCCAACUUCAUCACCUGCUUCUGUAUUCAGAGAGAAAACGUAGUACUGCCUGGAGGGCAAGCUGAUAUUUAGAACUCUUUCUCCUGUAAAAUGCUGCUGCUCACAGUCCUCUGUAUAGCAAGAAUGGUGUGGCUCCAUGGAAAUAAUUACUCUAUGUGGUAGAAGCAGUAUUUAUGCCACUUUUUAAAAAGCCUUCUGAUCCAAGAAUCAGGCAGUGAAUUUUAAUAGAAAAUUGUAGAAAGAUCUAUUGUGCAAAGAAUUAGUUGCUGUGUUUUUUAAAAAAUAUAUUUUUUAUUGAUUUUUUUUUUUACAGAGAGGAAGGGAGAGGGAUAGAGAGUUAGAAACAUCAAUGAGAGAGAAACAUCAAUCAACUGCCUUCUGCACACCCCCUACUGGGGAUGUGCCCGCAACCAAGGUAUAUGCCCUUGACCAGAAUCGAACCUGGGACCCUUCAGUCCGCAGGCCGACGCUCUAUCCACUGAGCCAAACUGAUUAGGGCUGCUGUGGUUUUUUGAUUUCAUAUAUUGUUUGAGGUGUAUUCCUUAAAAUAAUCAGAUCUGGAAAAACGUUCUAACCAGAGGGAGAAAGGAAACACUGAAUGUACGUUUUUGUGCCUACUAGUUAAAUACUUUAUAUCUCGUUUUGACCUCCCCAAACCCUAAGAACUAUGUAUCUUCAUUUAUUGAAGAACAGGCCUAGAGAGGAUGAUUUGCCCAAUCUUAACAUUAUGUGGUAAGUGUUUGAGCUUUAAGUCCUAAAAUGAUUGACAGUAUUAGCAUUCCACUACAGUUUAUCCGUUCUCAUUUGGGCACUAGGAGGGGGCUUCUUUUCUCUAACAGACAAAAAACAAUAGGCAUGCAAAAAAUUCUCACACUUACGCAAACUACAAUGAUAAAGGGACAUCCCUGCUUUAUUACAAUAUCUUGGUAUAACUCACAUUUUUGGGGAUGAAAAAGUUGAAUAAUUCUAUAUGUUCUUAGGAGAAAAAAGCAUUACCAGGUGUCAAAUGGCCAAGAAAGUCCCUGGACUGCUAAAGCAGGAUUGCCCAGUGGUCUCUUAACACAUUCCAUCACUCAGUUCUUCCCAUUGUUUGUGAAUAGAUGGGUACAAUACUCUUUUCCAGUAUAACACACCUUUGAAUUUGGUCAUCACCCAAAGGAAAGAGAGGCUGGUGUCUGACAGUUCAGUGGCAAUAUUGGGCCAAUAAAUAAUGACUACUUUUGCCCCAGGAGCAUGGAAACCACCAGUCACAAGUCUGUAAGGUCAAGAAGACUGACAGUCUAAGGUAAAUUCCAAUUCAUCACAGCGCAUCAGGUCCCCGAAUAAUAUACCUGGCUCUUUAAAGUGUAAGGUGCAGUGUUGAGCAUGGAAUCUGUGGAGACCUUAAUUAUCCUACUAAUGACAUUUGCCUAGUAUUCAGGAAGCUGAUGACGGUUUGAAGUAUGAGGGGAUAAAAGCCAAUUUUGUAGCAAGGAACAGCACCUACAAAGUUCAUGCUUCGAAAGGAGAGCAGCUGGGACAAGUUUCACAAGCAGCGCUCAAUCCCAGCCCAGCCGAGGUCUUCAGUACUUCAACACACAGAGCGUCUUGUGCAGCUCCUCUUCUCCCUGCAGUGAAGAUGGAGACAACAGGGACACUCACUACCUCCUGUCGUGUCCCAUUUACCUUGAAGUGCUGAUGACAACAUUUGAGACCAGUGUUAGGGUUGGUCUCCCCUCCUGGCUGUGUUCCUGCAGUUCCUGCACCUCUGCUCUUCUAAUCAACGGUCUGCAAGCGUGGAGCAUGCCUUUAUGCCCAAGCAGAAAUCUCCAGAGACCCCCCGUGACGGUGCACGUCUCCGUGAAGACUGAAGUCCCACUUGGGACCCAGCCUAUGCUUCAAAAGCAGUGCCCAUUCUGAGUCAGCGCUUAGUGUGGCUUACAGUGGAGCCUGGGACGACAGUGCAGCGACUGUCUUUAAACACCCUCCUUUCUGGAUGUUCCCAGGACAAAGCUCAGCCUGGAGCUUCUCUCACCUUUCAGUCCCCCUGAACAAGGGUUUCUUGUUUUACUUACCAACCACUUAAGCCCUAAUAGGAUGGAAGUUCAAAAGGGCUUCCUUAGGACAUUGAGAAGCUGUCAAAUGGUCAUUUACGUCUUCAAUAGUAUGGCUUUAACUACUGGGUCGUUUUUAAAUAAGUUAUUUGUAACGCGGCUUUUGCAAGAAGCAUCCACAAACACUAUACUUCACUACAUUUAAUUUCUGUGACCCAACUAAUAAGGUGGCCGUGAACAAACUCCAGCAACCUGUGAACUCACUGAUGGGAGUUUUGUCCUACUCAAACUCAGAACUGCUUUAGCAUGACUUUCCCGAGAGCGUCUCCACAUCCUCACUCACCACAAUCGCAUUUGGCUCCUCAUCCGUCCCUCCUGCCACACUGAAUCCCAGACCCGAGCCUUCUUUUUUGGUCAAGACUAUGAAGCAGACAUCUUUAUUCUAUUGAGAAGAAACAGAAGAAAAAAGUAUAUUCCCUGUGCCAAGAGUAACAGCAUACUGGAAGCUGAUCGAUCGUCAGGCCGGAUUUUGCUUCUGAGAAGCUCAGUACAGCAUCAGGAAAGCUAGAAGCACCAUCAGGGGCUCCCCAAGGUUUAGCUCUCCAGAAACCAGAAGACCGGGGCUUGUUUUUUGACUCUAGUCUCUCACAGCACCCUCAGAAGCCAAAGAAACUGUUCUGAACAGUUCCAUUUUCAACACCUACACACCAUACUCAUUGAGAAAAAGCAAGGCAGGAAACUUCUGGUCUAAAGAUGGCAGAGUGAGGACAUCUGUACUUGCCCGGAACCAACUGAAGACAACUGCAUGUUGACGAAAACAAGCAUGAUCUUCAACACCACGCAUAAAACCUGCCUGCAUGGUGGUGAAUAGGAACUGAGGUGAGGAGAGGCCCCAGAUGACUCCAGGUGGCGCUCGGCACCCUGUGCACACACACAGUCUACCCUGGGGUCCCUCCCUUUUGUGAGGUUGGUUGAGACCAUUUUAUCUAUCAUGAGUACAGGUGGCCCCUGGCACAGCGUGAUCAGACCUUGACUGGAAAUCACCAAGUGAGUCCACGUGCAAAAUGCUUACUUACUGCAACAAGUGGAAGGAGGAAGGAGACAAUAGAUUAGUCCCUUUUACUGAAAGUGAAAAAUGCUAGAUGCCUCAGGGUGUUUCCUGGCUGCACAGACCCAGACCAGUGGGCGGAGAACCAGGAGAGGCCGCUAAUGGCCACUGGUCUCAUCCCACCCACCUCCCCUCCCUCUGGCUCACUCCUCAUUGGAGGCCAGCGUCACAGCCCUUCUAGUGUUAGAAUUCUGGAUGAUACCAGUGACCCAGGUACUCAAGGUACUCUACUUGCUUUUUUCUCUAAGUAGAAAAUUUUUAUUUCUUAGGGUUCGAAUCUCUGUGGAUAGUCCCAAGAAGUAUUCUAGUUAGGAAACCCUGGUUUCAAUUGUUACUGUUACCGUCACAUCCAAUUUUUUAUGACUAUUUAGCUUCUUUGUCUGGAACCCCAGGCUUCAGAAAUUCUUACACUUGGGGCCAGGGCAAGGCCACACAGGCAUUAACUCAUCUCCCCAGCAGGUGGCGCCCUUGACAGGUAGUAGUUUAUGUCCACCUAGGUGGACAAAGGUGCUUGUGCUCAUUCUCCACCACAAGUACCUUUGAGGACUCUCUGCAGACAAACUCCAAAUGCAGGGUGGGAUGGGGAGGUCAGUAACUAGUCCCCACUGGGGAAUUAAAUGAGCAACUGCACCAAUCUGCCACCUAAAAACACAAGACAAGGUUUAGCUUCUAAAGCAGUCUGCAAGCAAGUGAGAUUGGGCUGUGAGCUCACAACAGGAGACCUGGAGAAGGGCUCACGAACCUCUGAGUGCGUGGCUGUACCUGGGCACUGACGUGGCAGCAGUUCUGUGUCCGUGUUCCCUGCAUUUCACUCACCUCUGAUUGUGCUUUCGCUUCCUGCAUGAGAGUCAGGAUGGUAGAUUUCGACCUUGCCGAUGACAAAACAGACUGUAAUCUUUGCUGAUCCCCCGCUGAGACUAGAAGUUGAUCCAAACUAAAUAAUAUAAAUACAUUAGGAGAACAUUAAAGAAAAAGCAAUUUCUCUAUUUUGUAACGACGCAUUUAAAACAAUCUCCUUUAGAUUGUAUUGUAGGUAUUUUCAGUGGAAAUAACUAUGGAUUCAGGGAUUCCCCAAGGUGUUAGGGGACCAAUGUGGUAAACAAAAGUUGUUAUAUUAAAAAAUAUACAAUGUAUAGGCUCAAAUGAAA
Molecule: long non-coding RNA, 4922 nt
Organism: Myotis lucifugus (little brown bat)
Lineage: Eukaryota; Metazoa; Chordata; Mammalia; Chiroptera; Vespertilionidae
Exons: 7
Source: RefSeq, a predicted model, not a curated record